CCUACGGGCGGCUGCAGUGGGGAAUAUUGCACAAUGGGCGCAAGCCUGAUGCAGCCAUGCCGCGUGUGUGAAGAAGGCCUUCGGGUUGUAAAGCACUUUCAGCGGGGAGGAAGGCGGUGAGGUUAAUAACCUCAUCGAUUGACGUUACCCGCAGAAGAAGCACUGGCUAACUCCGUGCCGGCAGCCGCGGUAAUACGGAGGGUGCAAGCGUUAAUCGGAAUUACUGGGCGUAAAGCGCACGCAGGCGGUCUGUCAAGUCGGAUGUGAAAUCCCCGGGCUCAACCUGGGAACUGCAUUCGAAACUGGCAGGCUAGAGUCUUGUAGAGGGGGGUAGAAUUCCAGGUGUAGCGGUGAAAUGCGUAGAGAUCUGGAGGAAUACCGGUGGCGAAGGCGGCCCCCUGGACAAAGACUGACGCUCAGGUGCGAAAGCGUGGGGAGCGAACAGGAUUAGAUACCCUUGUAGUC
Molecule: ribosomal RNA, 465 nt
Filed under: uncultured Klebsiella sp.
Lineage: Bacteria; Pseudomonadati; Pseudomonadota; Gammaproteobacteria; Enterobacterales; Enterobacteriaceae
Description: bacterial SSU rRNA
Rfam family: Bacterial small subunit ribosomal RNA
Source: RNAcentral